Long non-coding RNA from Arabidopsis thaliana (thale cress), 494 nucleotides. RefSeq annotates it as other RNA. Lineage: Eukaryota; Viridiplantae; Streptophyta; Magnoliopsida; Brassicales; Brassicaceae. The transcript has a single exon. The record is from RefSeq.
GUUUUUACUUAAUUGAUAAUGAAUAGUAUGAAACCAUGUAUGCCCGGCGGCUCUCUUAUCAUGUGCUAAUUGCUGACGGCUAAUUUGGUGAUCCCUCUCUGGCAGUUGUCUCGCUGAUGAUCCUGGCAGCUAAUCACAAGAUUUCUGAGCUACUAACUAUUGAACCUCAUGUGUCAUCUCUCCGCUGAAUUCAGAAUCAGUUUACUUUCCCUCACCCUUUCCCAAUUUGCAUCCUCUAGGCUUCAAAGAGAACCCCUUGAUCAAUUUUGAGGAGAAAACGAUUUGAUUAAUCCCUCUUAAUGUUUAUUUCUUUUUAUACAAUGCUAAUUAACUACUAACUAUUGAGUCCAAUAGGGGCUUUUGUACAAUCUCUUCUCAAUCUUAAGUUUGAAACCCUUCAUCAAAAAAAAAAACUGAGCUACAUGGUUCUGGACUAAUUACUCUUCUCACCUUUUUUUUUUUUUAGGAUUACUUCUCACUCCCAGACCAUUAUU